RNAcentral lists this ribosomal RNA (483 nucleotides) under uncultured bacterium. RNAcentral's name for it is "bacterial SSU rRNA". It matches the Rfam family "Bacterial small subunit ribosomal RNA", at positions 25 to 507 of the family's 1533-position model. The record is from RNAcentral.
CAGAUUGAACGCUGGCGGAAUGCUUUACACAUGCAAGUCGAACGGUAGAGGGGGCAACCCCUUGAGAGUGGCGAACGGGUGAGUAAUAUAUCGGAACGUGCCCAGUCGUGGGGGAUAACGUAGCGAAAGUUACGCUAAUACCGCAUACGAUCUAAGGAUGAAANCGGGGGAUCGCAAGACCUCGCGCGAUUGGAGCGGCCGAUAUCAGAUUAGGUAGUUGGUGAGGUAAAGGCUCACCAAGCCGACGAUCUGUAGCUGGUCUGAGAGGACGACCAGCCACACUGGGACUGAGACACGGCCCAGACUCCUACGGGAGGCAGCAGUGGGGAAUUUUGGACAAUGGGCGCAAGCCUGAUCCAGCAAUGCCGCGUGCAGGAUGAAGGCCUUCGGGUUGUAAACUGCUUUUGUACGGAACGAAACGGUGAGCUCUAAUACAGUUUGCUAAUGACGGUACCGUAAGAAUAAGCACCGGCUAACUACGUG